ACGAACGCUGGCGGCGUGCUUAACACAUGCAAGUCGAACGGAUCAAAUAUUGAGCUUGCUUAAUAUUUGGUUAGUGGCGGACGGGUGAGUAACACGUGGAUAAUCUACCUCUGACACAGGGAUAACACUGUGAAAACGGUGCUAAUACCAGAUACGUUCAUCAGAGCACAUGCUAAGAUGAAGAAAGGAGAAAUCCGGUCAAAGAUGAGUCCGCGGCUGAUUAGCUAGUUGGUGAGGUAACAGCCCACCAAGGCAACGAUCAGUAGCCGGCCUGAGAGGGUGAACGGCCACACUGGGACUGAGACACGGCCCAGACUCCUACGGGAGGCAGCAGUGGGGAAUCUUCCGCAAUGGACGAAAGUCUGACGGAGCAACGCCGCGUGGGUGAAGAAGGCCUUCGGGUUGUAAAACCCUGUCUUCAGGGAAGAAAAAAAUGACGGUACCUGAGGAGGAAGCCACGGCUAACUACGU
This 471-nucleotide ribosomal RNA is filed under the name uncultured bacterium. RNAcentral's name for it is "bacterial SSU rRNA". It matches the Rfam family "Bacterial small subunit ribosomal RNA", at positions 29 to 506 of the family's 1533-position model. The record is from RNAcentral.